Non-coding RNA from Podarcis lilfordi (Lilford's wall lizard), 373 nucleotides. The record is from the annotation of a GenBank genome assembly. NCBI's taxonomy places the organism in Eukaryota, Metazoa, Chordata, Lepidosauria, Squamata, Lacertidae.
GGGUCUUCUGGCAGAAACCUGAGCAUCAGGUUUUCCCCAAUCCCUCCCUUGACCUCCACCUCACACUCAUUAACUAAAACAAAAGGUAAGUAUGUACACGUUCCUGUUCUCCCAGUCAAGUUAAUCACACCCCUUUGUCUUGACCAAGGUCCUAAUCAACUGAAGUUGGGUUUACCAUUGUCUCUGGAAUAGCUCUCCCUGUCUGGCGCUCAGGGGCCAGGAUGUCAGAGAUUAUCUCCCAUGCAAGAGGCUGCUGAGUACGUGAUCUCAGGCUUGAGGGAUUAUGGCCGCCCACAUCCCAGGCUUCCCCUUUGGUAGCCAUUCCUUUCCUGAACAGAACAAAGUUGGAACAGCACAAAUCUGAUACUGGAGC